UGCAGGCAUAUAUUAACAUGGGACCAACAGCUGCCAAGUGCACAUGUAACAGGUCACCCAGUUUCAUAGGUACAAAUCUGCUGACAGGUGCCCUUUAAUUGGCUUCCUAUGAAACUUUCCCGAGUUCAUGUGUGGCAGACAUAUGACAAAAAUUAGCCCAACUGGGGACAGGGAUGGCAACCUCUGCAGAGAGCAGAAUAUGUUGGUGCUGUAUAACUAUAAGAAAAUAAAUCAUGGGAAUCAUUCCUCCAGGAGCAGGGGUGCUGUGUGUUUGCAUGAUGGCACAAAACCUUUCCUGCCAGCCAACCUUACUUGUGCCCUCUUCUACAAAUAAACAAAACAAAAAUUGGAGGCCAUAUUCCUAAGCGAAAUCUUGGGGUGGAGUAACUUGCCCAUAUUCUUUCCUGCUUCCUCCUGUGUAUUUUUUUUUAGACUAGCAGCCCAGAUAUUUUCUCAUGUUGCCUGACCGAUACAGCACAUAAGUCAAUUGCAUACAUUAGGGAGCCUAUAGAAAAGGGGGAAGAUCUCAUCAUACUGGAGUUCCUUUUAACUCUUUCACUGCCAAGGACAUAUCUCAUACGUUCUCGCAGGGUGGCACUUCAGUAGCCAAGGACAUAUGAGAUACAUCAUUGCUUCUAAAAGCUCUAUCUCAGGCUGUAUAGCAGAAGUCUUGUUUUAAAGCUGAGAGUCUAAGCUAGCUAAGAAACAGGCAGAGAUGAAACCUUUAGAAAUCGGAUCAUGAGCGAGACUUGCAGGUAUAUGCAGUUCCCAAUUUACCCAACUGUAUCUCUGGCUAUAUCACGGCUAGCACAGCGAUUCUGGUCCUAUUUUAAAGCUUAGAUUCUCUAGCUGCUAUAGCACCUGCGAUAGAGCCAGUAGUAGCAAGGACAUAUUUCAUACAUCCUUGCCUAUUGAAGGGCCACUCUGUGUGGAUGUUCUUGGCAGGAAAAAGGUUAAAGAUGCAACAAAUUAAGAUGUUGUGUUGUAUACAACGUAGUGUUUUAUUUGCCUAUUAUUUGCCUAUAUUUAUAUACUGUUGAAGAACCCCUUUAAUUUUAUUUUAAUGUGUGAGUCAGGAGUGCAAGGAAACAUUAAGGCGAGAGAGUGGAGCCCAUAGAUUUUGCCAGCAAUCUAUGCCUGAAUGUUUUAUGAUGCCUUCAAUGUGAUGCUGGCUUAUAGAAGACUGCAGGUUAAAUAGAAGUAUAUGUAUAUAAAUAUAUAUUUAUGUUUGUGAUGAUUGAUAACUAACAUUCCAUGAUGUAAGGUAGUUUGUGUUGGAGGAGAUGAUUGUAAAGUACACAUUCUCAUUAUCGAGGUUGCCUGCAGGAUAUUGAGUCCUCUCAAUGUGCCAUUAUGUAUUUUCAUUCACAAUGCAAUAUUUCCAGGAUCACUAGGAAACUGAAAGUGUUUACUUGACUUCGAAUCAGUUUUUCACAAUUUUUAUGUAUAUAAAAUGAUUACUUUAGCAGCAUACCUGCGACAAAUAGUGGUUACAUCAUUUUUUUCCUCAUACUUUGAAUGCGGACCCAACUUAAAUGAAAUAUUUUAACCUAAAAUAAUUUAUUGUAUUUUAAAUGAAAAUCAGACUUAAAGUGUAGGUUACCUGUAAAAGUGACCUAAAAUGGCUGGAAAGACAUAUCACAACUCCAGACAAUUCUAGAUGAAACAGUCACACUGCACUUAUGGAGUGAUGGGGCAGAUUACACGGCCAAACUGCUUUUAGGGACUACCUGGUUAUUCUGGACCACGCAUAUCACAGCAAUAAUCUGUCUAUAUGGUCUGGACCUCCUUCUUGUAACAGCAGUCUGGAGCCAGAAUACGUAGCCAGACUGCUGUUAUAGCGGGAGGUCCAGACUACACAGCCAGUCUACCACUGUUAAACGGAGGGGGCCAGAAUAGACAGUCAGACAACUGUUAUAGUUGUAGGUCAAGACUACACAGCUAGACUACUAUUAUAGUGGUAGGUCCAGAAUACACAGCUAGACUACCGCUGUUAUGAGGGAGGUCCAGACUACACAGCUAGACUGCUGUUAAAGGGGGAGGUCCAGACUACAUAGCCACAAUACUGCAGUUAUGGGCGGUCCAGAAUAUACAACCAGACUACCACUGUUAUGAGGGAAGGUCCAGACUACACAGGCAGACUACUGAUGUUAUCGGGAGGGGGGGGGGGUCCUGAAUAUACAACCAGACUACAGUUAUAGUGGUAGGUCCAGACUACACAGCCAGACUACUGUUAAGAGGGAGGUCCAGACUGCACAGCCACAAUAAUGCAGUUAUGGGGGGUCCAGAAUAUACAACCAGACUACCGCUGUUAGGAUGAAAGGUCCAGACUACAUAGCCAGACUACUGAUGUUAUUGGGGGGGGUCCUGAAUAUACAACCAGACUACAGUUAUAGUGGUAGGUCCAGACUAGACAGCCAGACUACAGUUAUAGUGGUAGGUCCAGACUAUACAGCCACAAUAAUCCAGUUAUGGGCGGUCCAGAAUAUACAACCAGACUACCACUGUUAUGAGGGAAGGUCCAGACUACACAGCCAGACUACUGAUGUUAUUGUGGGGGUCCUGAAUAUACAUCCAGACUACAGUUAUAGUGGUAGGUCCAGACUACACAGCCAGACUACAGUUAUAGUGGUAGGUCCAGACUAUACAGCCACAAUAAUGCAGUUAUGGGGGGUCCAGAAUAUACAACCAGACUACCACUGUUAUGAGGGAAGGUCCAGACUACACAGCCAGACUACUGAUGUUAUUGUGGGGGUCCUGAAUAUACAACCAGACUACCACUGUUAUGAGGGAAGGUCCAGACUACACAGCCAGACUACUGAUGUUAUUGUGGGGGUCCUGAAUAUACAACCAGACUACAGUUAUAGUGGUAGGUCCAGACUAUACAGCCACAAUAAUGCAGUUAUGGGGGUCCAGAAUAUACAACCAGACUACCACUGUUAUGAGGGAAGGUCCAGACUACACAGGCAGACUACUGAUGUUAUCGGGGGAGGGGGGGGGGUUCUGAAUAUACAUCCAGACUACAGUUAUAGUGGUAGGUCCAGACUACUGUUAAAGGGGAGGUCCAGACUACAUAGCCACAAUAAUGCAGUUAUGGGGGGUCCAGAAUAAAGACGACAGCCCUACUACUGUGAUAGGGAGGAGGUUGAGGAGGUCCAAAACUACACUUUAUUGAUUUUCAUCUGUCUUGUCUUAGGGAAUAUGUAUACGCAUUAAGCACUGGAUGAAGCUGCAGUAAUCCAGGGUAAAGGCAAUGCACUACCUUUUUUAUUGUUCAUUUUUUUUAUUUUCCAGCUGAAGGGGCAUACACAAUGUUUUUUGUUUUUUUUCUUCUAAUGCCAAUCAACCUCAGCUACAUCAAAUGUGAAUUCUGCAGGAAAGCUUUAUAUUUGUUGUCUAAUUUAAAGAUAAUUUGUGAAGGUUCUUAAUCUCUACCGCGGACACGUCUCACUUGACACUCUUAUUGACACAGUUCAUUUUUUUGUAUUAUACAAUUGUCGCAGCUGUAAAUUAAGAUGAUAUUCUGUAAGUAUGGAGAGAAAAUGUAUUUGGUGAAUGGUGUUAGUUUCAAUAUUAGAAAAACAAUGUUCAUCUGUGUCCUGCGAGUAAAUGAUUUGUUCUUAAAUCCAUUUUGCAACUUGUCGACAAGUCCAUGCGUAGCAAUUUCUAAUCGCUGAAUUUAAUUAACAUUUCACAAACUGUACGCCAUCAUUUUUUAGUACAGUUUGCAUGAGUAAAUUAUGUAUAAAAUAAAUGCGUUAUUUAAGAUUGUUUUUUUAUUUUUAAUAAUCUUAUUCGGUUACUGUAUUUCCAUUGUUUACAUAAUGUCUUUAUGAUCUGUCUAGAAGGCAAGCACAUAAAUGUACAUUGAAAUAAACAUUUUAAAAAGCAA
Bufo gargarizans (Asiatic toad) is the source of this 3892-nucleotide long non-coding RNA. RefSeq lists it as uncharacterized. The transcript is spliced from 2 exons. Lineage: Eukaryota; Metazoa; Chordata; Amphibia; Anura; Bufonidae. The record is from RefSeq and is a predicted model, not a curated record.